UCUCUGUCUUAUUGCUCCCAUCCUAUCCACUACCACAAUCACUCCUUCCUUAUCCCAUCGAUCCUUAUUUUUAAUCUUAUCUUUCUUAGUAUGAAUAUAGAUCCACCACAAUAUACCUAUUUUCAAAACAUUCAUCCUCUAAACAUGAGAGUUCUUGAUUAGACAACACUCCACCUUAUACAACAUAGUUUGUCUAACCAUCAGUCUAUACUUACCUUUAUGUUUUGGUGGCACCUUUUUAAUUAUCACAUCCAUACUCUCGAUACAAGCCUCCAUUUUAUCAAC
Molecule: long non-coding RNA, 285 nt
Filed under: Solanum tuberosum (potato)
Lineage: Eukaryota; Viridiplantae; Streptophyta; Magnoliopsida; Solanales; Solanaceae
Description: long non-coding RNA (STUB_LNC008072)
Source: RNAcentral